Molecule: ribosomal RNA, 301 nt
Filed under: uncultured bacterium
Lineage: Bacteria
Description: partial 16S ribosomal RNA
Rfam family: Bacterial small subunit ribosomal RNA
Source: RNAcentral
CAGCCGCCGCGGGAAUACGGAGGGAGCUAGCGUUGUUCGGAAUUACUGGGCGUAAAGCGCACGUAGGCGGCUUUGUAAGUCAGAGGUGAAAGCCUGGAGCUCAACUCCAGAACUGCCUUUGAGACUGCAUCGCUCGAAUCCGGGAGAGGUGAGUGGAAUUCCGAGUGUAGAGGUGAAAUUCGUAGAUAUUCGGAAGAACACCAGUGGCGAAGGCGGCUCACUGGACCGGUAUUGACGCUGAGGUGCGAAAGCGUGGGGAGCAAACAGGAUUAGAGACCCCAGUAGUCCCUGUCUCUUAUAC